AAGCCAUGAUGAGGACAUUUGCUAAACAAAUCUUUAAUUUUUUCCCAUGAUUCAUACAAUGAAUCAUUAUCAAAUUAAACAAAAGUAGUAAUAUUAUUUCUCAUUUU
Small nucleolar RNA from Diospyros lotus (date-plum), 107 nucleotides. Lineage: Eukaryota; Viridiplantae; Streptophyta; Magnoliopsida; Ericales; Ebenaceae. The record is from RefSeq and is a predicted model, not a curated record.